ACACCCGACCCCAUUCCGAACUCGGAAGUUAAGCCCUCCAGCGCCGAUGAUACUGCGGUUCUAACCGUGGGAAAGUAGGACGCCGCCAGAU
Molecule: ribosomal RNA, 91 nt
Filed under: Desulfonatronum zhilinae
Lineage: Bacteria; Pseudomonadati; Thermodesulfobacteriota; Desulfovibrionia; Desulfovibrionales; Desulfonatronaceae
Source: RNAcentral